This 69-nucleotide transfer RNA is filed under the name Aeolesthes oenochrous. RNAcentral's name for it is "tRNA-Trp". It matches the Rfam family "tRNA". Rfam says of the family: Transfer RNA (tRNA) molecules are approximately 80 nucleotides in length. Their secondary structure includes four short double-helical elements and three loops (D, anti-codon, and T loops). Further hydrogen bonds mediate the characteristic L-shaped molecular structure. tRNAs have two regions of fundamental functional importance: the anti-codon, which is responsible for specific mRNA codon recognition, and the 3' end, to which the tRNAs corresponding amino acid is attached (by aminoacyl-tRNA synthetases). tRNAs cope with the degeneracy of the genetic code in two manners: having more than one tRNA (with a specific anti-codon) for a particular amino acid; and 'wobble' base-pairing, i.e. permitting non-standard base-pairing at the 3rd anti-codon position. The record is from RNAcentral. Lineage: Eukaryota; Metazoa; Arthropoda; Insecta; Coleoptera; Cerambycidae.
UAAGGAUUUAAGUUAAAUAUUAAACUAUUAGCCUUCAAAGCUAAAAACAGGACAGUACCUAAGCCUUAG